RNAcentral lists this ribosomal RNA (253 nucleotides) under uncultured bacterium. RNAcentral's name for it is "partial 16S ribosomal RNA". It matches the Rfam family "Bacterial small subunit ribosomal RNA", at positions 524 to 776 of the family's 1533-position model. The record is from RNAcentral.
UCCGUAGGGUGCAAGCGUUAAUCGGAAUUACUGGGCGUAAAGCGUGCGCAGGCGGUCUCGUAAGACAGGUGUGAAAUCCCCGGGCUUAACCUGGGAACUGCGCUUGUGACUGCGAGGCUGGAGUGCGGAAGAGGGAGGUGGAAUUCCACGUGUAGCAGUGAAAUGCGUAGAGAUGUGGAGGAACACCGAUGGCGAAGGCAGCCUCCUGGUCUAGCACUGACGCUCAUGCACGAAAGCGUGGGGAGCAAACAGG